AUCGCAGUUGCAACUAUGUGUUGUCAACAAUGAUUGCGACAAAACCCUCGAUUAGGACACAUUAAAUAUUAUCAAAAGAGGGACGAAAAAUACCAAAGGGACAGUCAAACUCAUAAAUCUAAAACAAACUGACAACGCCAUGGCUAAAAAUGAAAAAGACAAACAGAAAAACAAUAGUACACAUGACACAACAUAGAAAACUAAAGAAUAAACAACACAAACCCCACCAAAAACUAGGGCUGAUCUCAGGUGGUAAGCAGAUCCUGCUCCAA
This 272-nucleotide long non-coding RNA is filed under the name Mytilus galloprovincialis (Mediterranean mussel). The record is from RNAcentral. Lineage: Eukaryota; Metazoa; Mollusca; Bivalvia; Mytilida; Mytilidae.